CAGCCGCCACGGUAAUACGUAGGUGGCAAGCGUUGUCCGGAAUUAUUGGGCGUAAAGGGCUCGCAGGCGGUUUCUUAAGUCUGAUGUGAAAGCCCCCGGCUCAACCGGGGAGGGUCAUUGGAAACUGGGAAACUUGAGUGCAGAAGAGGAGAGUGGAAUUCCACGUAUAGCGGUGAAAUGCGUAGAGAUGUGGAGGAACACCAGUGGCGAAGGCGACUCUCUGGUCUGUAACUGACGCUGAGGAGCGAAAGCGUGGGGAGCGAACAGGAUUAGAUACCCCUGUAGUCCCUGUCUCUUAUAC
Molecule: ribosomal RNA, 301 nt
Filed under: uncultured bacterium
Lineage: Bacteria
Description: partial 16S ribosomal RNA
Rfam family: Bacterial small subunit ribosomal RNA
Source: RNAcentral